UUAAUUUUUUUUAACUGACAUUGAGGCAUAGGUUAGCUUCCAUCAGCUGCAAGGAAGAAUUUCCUUCUGCCACAGGAGUCAGUGCUCCUGCUGCCCCAUGUUCUCGCCCUCCUUCCCUCUGGAACCUCAGUGCCAAGGAACAGCCCAACGGCCCAACGGCCACAAACUGCCCAACUGCCCAACGGCUGCCGGGCUGUGCCUGUCACCCCACGGCUUCUACAGCACCGGCUGUGCUUGCUCCACAUUUGUUUUGGUGUUAGCAAAGGUUCUGUCUUCAGGAGAAAGCUCCCAGUAUGGACUGUAGGAAGAAUAAAACUGACAGUGAGAAGGAAGAGGAGUUUUUAGUCCAAAAUACUCCUUCAACUCCUGAGUCACCUUCCACUGUAGCUGAAGCAGAGUACAGUAACCAUCAAUCCGCUGUCACUGUCUCUGGGAGUUUAACACCAAAUCAAGAAGAGAUACAAAGCAUCACAAGUGAAACAGAUGGCACAGCAGAGAUACAGAAUACUGCAGGGCAAAUGCAAGUUCUCAAAUCUGAGCGAAAUAUUUCUUCGAAAGAUUUUGAUGCCAGUGUCACCUCCAGUAGUGGUAAUCAAUCAGAGCCAGAGCAUGCUGGAAAUGGUAAAGGAAAGGUGUUUAGAGGCCAAAAAAAUCUUCAAGAUGCUCACGGAAGAGACAGCUCCUCCAAAAAGCAGAAAACAAGCCUCAAAACAUCUGUGAACAUCAAAAAGAAGAAUAAAAUUAGAAAAUGUGGGCAAAGUGAAGAGAGGGAAUCUGAUCUAAAAGAACGCGACAAUCGUUUGCCCAAAGGUUGCAAAUGGAGUUUUCAGGAGUCUGACUUGCAAAAUUUGAGUAGCACCGAGCGCAUAACAAUUCUCCAAGCAAAAUUGCAGGAAAUUCGGAAACGUUACCUGUUGUUGAAAGCUGAGUUGGCUGCCAUUGACCGGACAAAGCGCUUAAAGAAAAAAAAAGAGCAGGAAAGUCCACAGGACCCUGCUUCAGGACAUCCCCGUUUUGGGACAGAAGCCUUCUUCAGGACAUGACUCCCAUGAAUUCAUAGCCUCUUCUCAGCAUUCACCCCAGAGUUGCUCUCCUCCACAGACUGCAGAGGCAUUACCAUCAUUUCUGAUUGGCCCAGCCUUGGCAGUGACUCUGCCAGACAGUGAGGAAGGUUCCAGCAGGCUCUCACAGAAGACAUUCCUGUAGCCCCCAGCACCAAUACCUGGCCAACAGAAACUCAAUAUGUUUCUAUACAUGCACUGUGUGCCCAUCAUGAUUCUCUUUUUCAGAGCAUGGAGAGGGAUCAGGAUUGCUCUGUUGCACUGUGUGGUAUCAUGACAUGAUAAUACCAGGGCUCAUUUUGGAUGUGUAUUCAGUUUUGACCUCCAACCUUAACUAAGGUGCUACCCUUGGGAGUCCAAUUAAAAGUAUCCAGUCUAUGGGGAGAAAAGAGGAGGAUGAUUUUCCCCAGCCUUUCACCCCCUUCCCCCCGCUCAGACCUAUUAUAACAGCUUUUAAGAAUUUUGAAUUCCUUUUAGAUGUUAAGGAAAGCAUGUUCCUGUUGCUAGGUCUGCCAGUGCAGUGCACACCAUAUUUAGAGCCAACAGAGAUUUCUAGAGUUAUUCUGAAAUAACUGCCCUGAAGCAGGGUAGUAAUGAGUGGUAUGGAACGUAGGAUAUGAGCCAGGAGGACUGCUCCAAUGGUUUUGCAGUUCACCCAUCAACAACUACAGGAACCUGUUAAAAUGAUGAAAUGUGUCAAAGAAAAAUGCUGUAGUAGCUCCAGAGAGGCAUGAACUUAUGCAACAUGUUCUGUCCUGGCUACUGUUUACUGGACGCUGCUCAAUAGUAGACAUCACCUCCAGGGGAGGAGAAAGAAAGCAGACCAACAGGCACCAUGGCCACUCAAAUUGCUGCUGAGCCAGAGGAACAACCCCUGACAGUAGCAGUCACCCCCAUAGAGAAAAAGAAAUCCAGCAUGUAGUCAGUUCAUUUCAUGAGGGAUGAAGUGGAAGCAGAGCCCUCAAAACAGAAGAGGCAGGGCCUGAGUACACCUGGAACCAGAUGCCACAGGGGUGGAAACAGCCACAUUAUUUGCCACUGGCUGAUCCAGACUAGAAAAUGGAGAGGCUGCAGAACGCUUGCAGUACAUCAAUGAUAUUGUAUGGGGCAAUGCAGCAAAGGAAGUUUUCGAGGAAGAGGAGAAAAUAACCCAGAUCCACCUGAAGGCCAGUUUUGCCAUAAAGCAAAACAAACUCAAAGGACCUGCCCAGGAAAUUCAGCUUUUAGAAGCAAAAUGCCAAGUGGGAUGUCAUCAGAUUCCAAUGGAUGUGGUCAACAAACAAGCAGCUAUGUCCCCACCAACCAGCAAGAAGCAAGCACAGAUUUUCCUAGACACUGUGGGUUUCUGGAGGAUACAUGUUACAGAUUAUGGUCAGAUUGUAUACCCUCUCUUUAUCAUGUGAUGUGGAAGAAGAAUAUUUUCAUGUGGGGUCCUGAACAACAAUAAGAUUUUUAAUUAACUGAACAGGAGAUCUUCAUGCAGUAACCUUUGGGCUGGUCAGGAUAGGAGCACGUGUGAAAAAUUUGCUUUAUAGCACAGAUGUGCACAAUGGUCCUUCCUGGAGUCUGGCAAAAAAUACCCAGGAAGACUUCAGGAUGACCAGUGGGGUUCCAGACUCAGAGAUACAAGAGAUCAAAUGCCUGUUACACCCCACCUGAAAAAGAGAUUCUGACAGCUUAUGGAGGAUUUUGAGCUGCUUUGGAAGUGAUGGGCACCAAAGCACAGCUCCUGCUGGCACUGCUGGUGCUGGGUUAGAUGUUCAAAGGGAAAGUCCUUCCCACACAUCAGGCCACUGAUGCUACCUGGAGUAAGUGAGUCGUGCUGAUCACAUAGUGAGCUCAAAUAGGAAAUACCAAUCACCCAGGGAUCUUAGAAAUCAAGGAAGUCAAACAUUUUGGACAAUCAUCAGAGGAGGAUGACGAAAAGGUGACAUGCUGAGGAGGUCCCACCAUAUAGUCAGCUACCAGAAAGAGGAAAGUCACGUGCCCUCAUCAUUGACUGCUCCUGCCAUAUCAUGGGGAUAAAUAAAAUAUGGGAAGCUGCUAUAUGGAGUACUACAUGGUGAGCUGCAUAAGCUAUUCAGGGCAAGGUGGAUUAAAUCAAUAUGCGGAGCUGAAAGCCAUCCAGAUGGCUUUAGAUAUUACUAAACAAGAGAAAUGGCCAGCACCCUAUCUGUACACUCUGUAUGCUCCGUAAGGGGUGGCUGGAUCAAUGGAAAAAGAUCAACUAGCAGCACAGAGGUAAACCCAUCUGAGCUGCUGUAGUCUGACAAGACACCACUGCCUGGAUAGAAAAGCUGGCUGUAAAAGCACAUCAUGUGGAUCCACCCAUACCCAGGACUUGGGUGACUGAAGAACAUCACAACAAUGGACAGGUGGAUUGGACUGCCAAGAUUAAAACUUGGAUCUGGUCUGGCAAAAAAGGAGUGAAUUAUUUCUGGCUCAUUGGCCCUAUGAUGCUUCAAGUCACCAGGGAAGAGAUGCAACAAUAUAGAUGGGCUUGUGACUUGACCAUGGAGUGGACUUAAGCAUGGGCACUAUUUCCCAGAUUAUUCUUAACUUUGAAACAUGCACUGCAAUAAAGCAGGGCAAGUAAAGCCUCUGUAGCACGGGGAACAGUGGUCAAAAUAUGGGGAGGCUUGGCUAGUUAGACUGCAGUCCCACAAACCUGCCAAGGCAAGUGCUAUGUGCUGACAGUGGUGGAACCAACCAAUGGAUGGCUGGAGAUGUGCCCUAUGCCCCAACACCAUCUUGGACCUUGAAAAGAAAGCCCUGUGGUAACAUGGAACCCCAGAAAGAGCUGAGUCAGACAAUAGCAUUAGUUUCAAAAAUAGUUUCCUGGGCCAGAGAGCACAGUAUUGAGUAGGUAUCCUAUUCCUUACCAUGCAUUAGCCUCUGGCAAAUUUGAACAGUACACUGGACUGUCAAAAACUGCACAGAGUU
RNA transcript from Cyanistes caeruleus (blue tit), 4004 nucleotides. It is a transcript of the gene named AT-rich interactive domain-containing protein 4B-like, with no coding region annotated. NCBI's taxonomy places the organism in Eukaryota, Metazoa, Chordata, Aves, Passeriformes, Paridae. The record is from RefSeq and is a predicted model, not a curated record.